Molecule: unclassified non-coding RNA, 291 nt
Filed under: uncultured Ascomycota
Lineage: Eukaryota; Fungi; Ascomycota
Description: sequence contains 5.8S rRNA gene, ITS2, 28S rRNA gene
Source: RNAcentral
AACGCACAUUGCGCCCUUUGGCAUUCCGAGGGGCAUGCCUGUUCGAGUGUCAGUUGACAAGCUCAAGCCCUCGUUUUGGCGGGGGCUUGGUGUUGGGCAAUUCGCCUCCCCCCCCCCAGCUGGUAGGUUAGGGUGGAUUUGGCGGGCCUGAAAAUCAGCGGCAGCGGGCGGACUGGCUCAAGCACAGUAGGCGUUUUUCUCGUGCUUUGGAGCGCAGUCGGCAGCUAGCCCAACGGCGCGAUAGACAUUCCGAGCGACCUCGAAUCAGGUAGGGAUACCCGCUGAACUUAA